RNAcentral lists this unclassified non-coding RNA (337 nucleotides) under soil metagenome. RNAcentral describes it as "partial contains 5.8S ribosomal RNA, internal transcribed spacer 2, and large subunit ribosomal RNA". The stretch from base 1 to 120 matches the Rfam family "5.8S ribosomal RNA", at positions 35 to 154 of the family's 154-position model. The record is from RNAcentral.
GAUGAAGAACGCAGCGAAAUGCGAUAAGUAGUGUGAAUUGCAGAAUUCAGUGAAUCAUCGAAUCUUUGAACGCACAUUGCGCCCCUUGGUAUCCCGUGGGGCAUGCCUGUUCGAGCGUCAUUUACCCCCUCAAGCUCCGCUUGGUGUUGGGCGUCUGUCCCGCUUCGCGCGCGGACUCGCCCCAAAGGUAUUGGCAGCGGUCGUGCCAGCUUCUCGCGCAGCACAUUGCGCUUCUCGAGGCACCGGUGGGCCCGCGUCCAUCAAGCUCACCCCCCCAGUUUGACCUCGGAUCAGGUAGGGAUACCCGCUGAACUUAAGCAUAUCAAUAAGCGGAGGA